RNAcentral lists this transfer RNA (87 nucleotides) under Wallemia ichthyophaga. It matches the Rfam family "tRNA". From Rfam's summary of the family: Transfer RNA (tRNA) molecules are approximately 80 nucleotides in length. RNAcentral also lists the same sequence under 1 other name. Lineage: Eukaryota; Fungi; Basidiomycota; Wallemiomycetes; Wallemiales; Wallemiaceae. The record is from Rfam by way of RNAcentral.
CCUCCUAUAGCUCAAUUGGCAGAGCGCAAGACUGUAAUUGAAACCUAGCACAUCUUGAGGUUCCUAGUUCGAUUCUGGGUGGGAGGA